GACGAACGCUGGCGGCGUGCCUAAUACAUGCAAGUCGAGCGGACCAAAGGGAGCUUGCUCCUGGAGGUUAGCGGCGAACGGGUGAGUAACACGUGGGCAACCUGCCUGUAAGACUGGGAUAACAUCGAGAAAUCGGUGCUAAUACCGGAUAAUAAAAAGAACUGCAUGGUUCUUUUUUGAAAGAUGGUUUCGGCUAUCACUUACAGAUGGGCCGCGGCGCAUAGCUAGUUGGUGAGGUAACGGCUCACCAAGGCAACGAUGCGUAGCCGACCUGAGAGGGUGAUCGGCCACACUGGGACGUGAGACACGGCCCAGACUCCUACGGGAGGCAGCAGUAGGGAAUCUUCCGCAAUGGACGAAAGUCUGACGGAGCAACGCCGCGUGAGUGAUGAAGGUUUUCGGAUCGUAAAACUACUGUUGUUAGGGAAGAACAAGUGCCGUUCG
RNAcentral lists this ribosomal RNA (444 nucleotides) under uncultured bacterium. RNAcentral describes it as "bacterial SSU rRNA". It matches the Rfam family "Bacterial small subunit ribosomal RNA", at positions 28 to 462 of the family's 1533-position model. The record is from RNAcentral.